UGCGUAGGUGGCCGGGUAAGUUUGACGUGAAAUCUCCGGGCUUAACUCGGAAACUGCGUUGAAUACUAUCCGGCUGGAGGUUCGGAGGGGGGGACGUGGAAUUCUCGGUGUAGCAGUGAAAUGCGUAGAUAUCGAGAGGAACACCAGUGGCGAAGGCGAGUCCCUGGACGACACCUGACACUGAGGCACGAAAGCCGGGGGAGGCAAAACA
RNAcentral lists this ribosomal RNA (211 nucleotides) under uncultured bacterium. RNAcentral's name for it is "partial 16S ribosomal RNA". It matches the Rfam family "Bacterial small subunit ribosomal RNA", at positions 568 to 776 of the family's 1533-position model. The record is from RNAcentral.